UGUACACAAUGUGCCGAGAGGUGAAAGAUUUAAUGCCUGAAGAUGAGCUCGCGUCUGAUUAGCUAGUUGGUGGGGUAAGAGCGCACCAAGGCGACGAUCAGUAGCUGGUUUGAGAGGAUGAUCAGCCACACUGGGACUGAGACACGGCCCAGACUCCUACGGGAGGCAGCAGUGGGGAAUUUUCCGCAAUGGGCGAAAGCCUGACGGAGCAAUACCGCGUGAGGGAGGAAGGCUCUUGGGUCGUAAACCUCUUUUCUCAAGGAAGAAAGAUGACGGUACUUGAGGAAUAAGCAUCGGCUAACUCCGUGCCAGCAGCCGCGGUAAUACGGAGGAUGCAAGCGUUAUCCGGAAUGAUUGGGCGUAAAGGGUCCGCAGGUGGAACUGAAAGUCUGCUGUUAAAGAAUUUGGCUCAACCAGAUAAAAGCAGUGGAAACUACAGAACUAGAGUAUGGUANGGGUAGAAGGAAUUCCUAGUGUAGCGGUGAAAUGCGUAGAUAUUAGGAAGAACACCGGUGGCGAAAGCGUUCUACUAGACCAAAACUGACACUGAGGGACGAAAGCUAGGGGAGCGAAUGGGAUUAGAUACCCCAGUAGUCAAA
Molecule: ribosomal RNA, 599 nt
Filed under: Nodularia sp. M8
Lineage: Bacteria; Bacillati; Cyanobacteriota; Cyanophyceae; Nostocales; Nodulariaceae
Description: bacterial SSU rRNA
Rfam family: Bacterial small subunit ribosomal RNA
Source: RNAcentral